RNAcentral lists this small nuclear RNA (274 nucleotides) under Octodon degus (degu). RNAcentral's name for it is "7SK RNA (ENSODEG00000024712.1)". It matches the Rfam family "7SK RNA", at positions 1 to 297 of the family's 331-position model. From Rfam's summary of the family: 7SK was discovered as an abundant small nuclear RNA in the mid-70s but a possible function has only recently been suggested. Two independent studies have found that 7SK RNA binds the CDK9/cyclin T complex (known as elongation factor P-TEFb). The record is from RNAcentral. Lineage: Eukaryota; Metazoa; Chordata; Mammalia; Rodentia; Octodontidae.
GAUGUGAGGGAGAUCUGGCUGUGACAUCUGUCACCCCAUAACCAUCAGCUUUGGUUCAAAUAUGGAUGCCUAGGCAGUUGUCCCCUACCUCCCUCAAUGCACCCCGUGCCUUCUGCUCAAAGUGGCAUGCUUUGUUGAACAGGAUGACAAGUCCUGGCAGAGGAAGACCAUUCCUCAGAUAAGGUUAUAUAAGUACCUCUGUUCCCUUGCAAAAAGCUUCAAAUGAGUAACUUUUGCUAAUGUGAAUUGUUAUAAAAGCACAAAGCUCAUCAGC